This 892-nucleotide ribosomal RNA is filed under the name uncultured Methanogenium sp. RNAcentral describes it as "bacterial SSU rRNA". It matches the Rfam family "Archaeal small subunit ribosomal RNA", at positions 5 to 909 of the family's 1478-position model. The record is from RNAcentral. Lineage: Archaea; Methanobacteriati; Methanobacteriota; Methanomicrobia; Methanomicrobiales; Methanomicrobiaceae.
CGGUUGAUCCUGCCGGAGGUCACUGCUAUCGGGGUUCGAUUAAGCCAUGCGAGUUGAGAGGGUUAAGACCCUCAGCGGACUGCUCAGUAACACGUGGAUAACCUGCCCUAAGGUGGAGAGUAACCCCGGGAAACUGGGGAUAAUACUCCAUAGACUAGAGCUACUGGAAUGUUCUUUAGUCGAAAGUUGAGGCGCCUUAGGAUGGAUCUGCGGUCGAUUAGGUUGUUGUUGGGGUAACGGCCCAACAAGCCUGUAAUCGAUACGGGUUGUGGGAGCAAGAGCCCGGAGAUGGAAUCUGAGACACGAUUCCAGGCCCUACGGGGCGCAGCAGGCGCGAAAACUUUACAAUGCAGGAAACUGUGAUAAGGGAACCCCGAGUGCCCGUAUACGCGGGCUGUCCAGGUGUUUAAAAAGCAUCUGAAGAAAGGGCCGGGCAAGACCGGUGCCAGCCGCCGCGGUAAUACCGGCGGCUCGAGUGGUGGCCACUAUUAUUGGGCUUAAAGCGUCCGUAGCUGGACCCUUAAGUCUCUUGGGAAAUCCGCCGGCUUAACCGGCGGGCAUCCAGGAGAUACUGAGUGUCUAGGGACCGGGAGAGGUGAGAGGUACUCCGGGGGUAGGAGUGAAAUCCUGUAAUCCCCGGGGGACCACCGAUGGCGAANGCAUCUCACCAGAACGGCUCCGACAGUGANGNACGAAAGCUGGGGGAGCGAACCGGAUUAGAUACCCGGGUAGUCCCAGCCGUAAACUAUGCGCGUUAGGUGUACUGGNGACCAUGANUCACUGGGGUGCCGAAGGGAAACCGUGAAANNGUGCCGCCUGGGAAGUACGGUCGCAAGGCUGAANNUUAAAGGAAUUGGCGGGGGAGCACAAGGGCGAAUUCCAGCACACUGGC